This 72-nucleotide transfer RNA is filed under the name Gemmatimonadaceae bacterium. RNAcentral's name for it is "tRNA-Thr". It matches the Rfam family "tRNA". From Rfam's summary of the family: Transfer RNA (tRNA) molecules are approximately 80 nucleotides in length. Their secondary structure includes four short double-helical elements and three loops (D, anti-codon, and T loops). RNAcentral also lists the same sequence under 2 other names. Lineage: Bacteria; Pseudomonadati; Gemmatimonadota; Gemmatimonadia; Gemmatimonadales; Gemmatimonadaceae. The record is from RNAcentral.
GCCAGCGUAGCUCAGUGGUAGAGCACUCGAUUCGUAAUCGAGCGGUCGUCAGUUCAAUCCUGACCGCUGGCU